Molecule: ribosomal RNA, 217 nt
Filed under: Priestia flexa
Lineage: Bacteria; Bacillati; Bacillota; Bacilli; Caryophanales; Bacillaceae
Description: Bacillus flexus partial 16S ribosomal RNA
Rfam family: Bacterial small subunit ribosomal RNA
Source: RNAcentral
UUCUUCGGAGAGUUUGAUCCUGGCUCAGGAUGAACGCUGGCGGCGUGCCUAAUACAUGCAAGUCGAGCGAACUGAUUAGAAGCUUGCUUCUAUGACGUUAGCGGCGGACGGGUGAGUAACACGUGGGCAACCUGCCUGUAAGACUGGGAUAACUCCGGGAAACCGGAGCUAAUACCGGAUAACAUUUUCUCUUGCAUAAGAGAAAAUUGAAAGAUGG